AGGUUCGAUUCUGGCUCAGGACGAACGCUGGCGGCGUGCUUAACACAUGCAAGUCGAACGGAACACCCUUGACAGAGGUUUCGGCCAAUGAAGAGGAAUGUUUAGUGGCGGACUGGUGAGUAACGCGUGAGGAACCUGCCUUUCAGAGGGGGACAACAGUUGGAAACGACUGCUAAUACCGCAUGAAGCAGCGAGGGGACAUCCCCUUGCUGUCAAAGAUUUAUCGCUGAAAGAUGGCCUCGCGUCUGAUUAGCUAGUUGGUGGGUAACGGCCCACCAAGGCGACGAUCAGUAGCCGGACUGAGAGGUUGACCGGCCACAUUGGGACUGAGAUACGGCCCAGACUCCUACGGGAGGCAGCAGUGGGGAAUAUUGGGCAAUGGACGCAAGUCUGACCCAGCAACGCCGCGUGAAGGAAGAAGGCUUUCGGGUUGUAAACUUCUUUUAACAGGGAAGAGAAGAAGACGGUACCUGUUGAAUAAGCCACGGCUAACUACGUGCCAGCCGCCGC
This 510-nucleotide ribosomal RNA is filed under the name uncultured bacterium. Its description in RNAcentral is "bacterial SSU rRNA". It matches the Rfam family "Bacterial small subunit ribosomal RNA", at positions 9 to 518 of the family's 1533-position model. The record is from RNAcentral.